UUUGCACUCUAACUCUAAAAAUGUUUGCCAAGACUCUAAAUUCUCACAGUCAGGGGAGAAUCAUUACCAGGGGUGAAAUGCUUGUUUACCACUAGAAGUAUUAUCUUCUCCCAACAAAAGGAGGUCUACAGACAUCAGAGAAGCCAUUGUGAACAAAAGACUUGGCUGAUACCCUCACACCCAUGAAGAGGGUACAAGUCUACAUCCCAUCACAGCUUGAAUGCUGGGGGAAGGGAAUAAAAAUGCCUCUUGAGGAGAAAUUGGUAUUUAUAUGCUGUCUGGAUACUGAGGGACAAAUACUCCUAAAAUUAAUACACUGUUAGUUUGCUACAGUAUUGAUACAGCCUUAUCUUUGGUUUGAGAUCUGAGGACAAAUGACCUGGAGCACUUUGGUGUUCCCAGCUUGGAUGGCCUUGUUCUGUACUGUGCUGCCAUUAUCAAAGGGAAGUGUGUAAAAUAAAUCAUCUCACCAGGAGAAUUUAUUGCUACAAUAAAAAUAAAGGCCCCCUAGGUUCACUGAGUCCACUGUCCUGAAGACAGAGAGAGUAAGUUUGAGGAAUUUACUGCAGCAUACCACUGGGUCAUUGUACCUACCUGAAGAGUUGGCUCAGCAGACAGCUGGAGACAUCAAUAAAGAAAAUGCAACCUAAGGGGAAAAAAACUGGAGUAUUUGAUUUUUUUGAAAGGAAAAUGCACAUUAUUUUGGAGUCUGCAAACCAGACAAUAUCCUAGGUUUGUAUUUUGCUAAC
This is a long non-coding RNA of Gopherus flavomarginatus (Mexican gopher tortoise), 749 nucleotides long. RefSeq lists it as uncharacterized. The transcript has 3 exons. NCBI's taxonomy places the organism in Eukaryota, Metazoa, Chordata, Testudines, Testudinidae. The record is from RefSeq and is a predicted model, not a curated record.